GAAGGCGAAAGGAAGAAAGCGUUUCCGUCAUAUGUGCAAAGCCUACUGUUGCAUAAAACAAAUUUCGUGAGAACGGAAACACGACUAACGUUGUCAACCGCUUAGAUCGAACGUUAUAAGGCUAUAAUACCGGGCAACAUCCUGGCCGGAACGAAGUCGGAUAUAUAAAAGGCUUCUUAUAUCCAAGUGAAUGCAUGGUCAUCAAGUGUUUCUAAAAUUUUUCUUUAUCGUGUUUCCCUUGUUGUACUACUUAGUUUAUCGUAAAUACGCCUGACAAUGGCGAAAGUGACCCUGAUGCUAUUCUUCGUAAUUUUGGUUUCUGCUGGUAUGGUACUCUCCGCCUCCGUCUUGCCAGGAACAGAAACGGAUGUAAAGAUUGAAUAUGGACUGACCAGUCCUGCAAUCAGCUAUAAGGCGCUUGGAUUCGGCACUCGACAGAAGCGUGGCUGCUCAGUCUGCUGCACUUGGCGUCCGUUCAACUGCAACAUGUGCUGCGACUGGGGAUAAUUAGACUGGAAUGUUACCGUGAAAUCUUGGCUGGCCAGUUGUACAGAGUACUUCCAAAUUCAACAUGCCACUUAGGAGGUUUACCGGCCAGUGACGCCACCAUACAUACAUACAUACGUGACCGCGUUAUCCUUCUUCAUGCAUACGUGUAAAAUUAGUUUUUAAACAAAAUAGCCCUGCUUCUUUGCACAAUAGUGGAAAAACUGGUUUUACCCGCAUUCAUAUUAUAUCAAGUACAUGUAUAUCUAUGUAUAUUUCAAGUAUUUGCAUACAUGUGUAUUUCGCGCUUUGUAUACGGUAUAUAUGAAUAUACGGCUUAUUAUAUUUGUAUUUUGUAAUUAUGAGAUUGUGGAAGCAAGUAAAACUGCAUAUGAUAAA
Paramacrobiotus metropolitanus is the source of this 885-nucleotide long non-coding RNA. RefSeq lists it as uncharacterized. Lineage: Eukaryota; Metazoa; Tardigrada; Eutardigrada; Parachela; Macrobiotidae. The transcript has 2 exons. The record is from RefSeq and is a predicted model, not a curated record.